Molecule: unclassified non-coding RNA, 307 nt
Filed under: plant metagenome
Description: partial contains 5.8S ribosomal RNA, internal transcribed spacer 2, and large subunit ribosomal RNA
Rfam family: 5.8S ribosomal RNA (bases 1-105)
Source: RNAcentral
GAAAUGCGAUAAGUAGUGUGAAUUGCAGAAUUCAGUGAAUCAUCGAAUCUUUGAACGCACAUUGCGCCCUUUGGUAUUCCAAAGGGCAUGCCUGUUCGAGCGUCAUUUGUACCCUCAAGCUUUGCUUGGUGUUGGGCGUCUUGUCUCUAGCUUUGCUGGAGACUCUCCUUAAAGUAAUUGGCAGCCGGCCUACUGGUUUCGGAGCGCAGCACAAGUCGCACUCUCUAUCAGCAAAGGUCUAGCAUCCAUUAAGCCUUUUUUCAACUUUUGACCUCGGAUCAGGUAGGGAUACCCGCUGAACUUAAGC